Long non-coding RNA from Bos taurus (domestic cattle), 1092 nucleotides. The record is from Ensembl. NCBI's taxonomy places the organism in Eukaryota, Metazoa, Chordata, Mammalia, Artiodactyla, Bovidae.
CAAGGACACAGACAGUGACAGGCAGUGGGUUCCUGCCUCCUGAGAGGCAGCGUGCCUGGACACCAGGAGGACUUCUUGGAGGAGAUAACAUUCCAUCAUACACCUUUCCCAAUUUGGAACCAGUCCUGAAUAUUCAUUGGAAGGACUGAUGCUGAAGCUGAAACUCCAAUACCUUGGCCACCUGAUGUGAAGAAUUGACUCGUUUGAAAAGACCCUGAUGCUGGGAAAGAUUGAAGGCAGGAGAAGGGAAUGACAGAGGAUGAGACGGUUGGAUGGCAUCACCGACUCAAUGGACAUGGGUUUGAGUAAACUGUGGGAAUUGGUGAUGGACUGGGAGGCCUGGCAUGCUGCAGUCCAUGGGGUCGCAAAGAGUCAGACACGACUGAGUGGCUGAACUGAACUGAAUAUUCCAUCAUAUGGAUAGAUCAUGUUUCAUUACCUGCUCAUCUGUGGUUGCACAGUUGGGCUGCUUCCAUCUUUUGGACUGUUGUGAAUAAUGCUGAACACUGGUAUACAAGUAUCUGAUUCUUGCUUUCGGUUCUCUGGGUACCUAGGAGUGCUGGGUCACCUGGCAAUUCAUGUCUCACCAUCUGAGGAACGGCCAAACUGUUUUCCAUAGCAGAUGCAUGAUUGAGGACUAUUUAAAAAUUUUAUCUUCAAUAUUGUUAAGAUGUCAAUACUGGAAAAAAAAAGAAUGUUGGACUUGCCUGGUGGUCCAGUGGUCAAGAAGCCUCCUGCUGAUGCAGGGCGCGUGGGUUCCAUCCCCUGUUCCGGGAAGACUCCACGUGCGGCGGGAUAACUGAGGCUGUGUGCCUACAGCCUGUGCUCUGUAACAGGAGAAGCCACUGCAAUGAGAAGCCCGUGUGUGGCAACUAGAGAGGAGCCCCCACUGGCCACGGCGGGAGAAAGCCUACAUGCAGCGACAAAGACCCAGUGAGGGCAAAAAUAACUAGCCAAGAAAAUAAACAUUUUAAGAAGUCAACGCUACCUAAAGUGAUUCACAGAUUCAAUGGGAUCCCCACAAAAAUCCCAAUGACAUUUAUUGUGGAAAUAGAAAAAAAUCCUAAAAUUCAUGCAGAAUCUCAAGGGACC